RNAcentral lists this ribosomal RNA (434 nucleotides) under uncultured Bacteroidota bacterium. Its description in RNAcentral is "bacterial SSU rRNA". It matches the Rfam family "Bacterial small subunit ribosomal RNA", at positions 9 to 440 of the family's 1533-position model. Lineage: Bacteria; Pseudomonadati; Bacteroidota. The record is from RNAcentral.
GAGUUUGAUCCUGGCUCAGGAUGAACGCUAGCGGCAGGCUUAAUACAUGCAAGUCGAACGGUAAGUUUGGUAGCAAUACUGAACCAAGAGUGACGUACGGGUGCGUAACACGUAUGCAACCUACCCAAAACAGGAGGAUAGCUCGGGGAAACUCGAAUUAACCCUCCAUAAGAUCAUAGAAUGGCAUCAUUUAGUGAUUAAAACUCCGGUGGUUUUGGAUGGGCAUGCGUCUGAUUAGUUAGUUGGCGGGGUAACGGCCCACCAAGACGAUGAUCAGUAGGGGAACUGAGAGGUUGAUCCCCCACACUGGCACUGAGAUACGGGCCAGACUCCUACGGGAGGCAGCAGUAGGGAAUAUUGGUCAAUGGAUGCAAGUCUGAACCAGCCAUGCCGCGUGCAGGAAGAAGGCGUUAUGCGUUGUAACUGCUUUUGCC